This 8603-nucleotide long non-coding RNA is filed under the name Capsicum annuum. RNAcentral's name for it is "long non-coding RNA (CANN_LNC017680)". The record is from RNAcentral. Lineage: Eukaryota; Viridiplantae; Streptophyta; Magnoliopsida; Solanales; Solanaceae.
UCAAUAGGAAAUCCAUUGGGCAGCAGACCCCUCACCCUUCGAAUUCCACGAAGCACCCUUGCUGUCACGACACCCAACUCUCACUCGAGUUCAUGAACCAUCCUUUCAAGUUCCUACACGGUGUCAAUCAGAGUCGCCAUGUACCAAAUCAGAUCAGUCAUAUCUAGAACAUGCAUGAACAAAUAACGUAAAACACUAAACCACAUAUAGUACCAAUUGGAGAUUUAACAAAAAAAAUGUAAAACUUAACUAGAAAAUAGAUGCAUGUUAUUGAUUUUUAUAUUAGAACAAGAAAAUAAAACAUACCUCAACGGACGAACAAGAAAUUUAUUUUUGAAAGAGAAGUGAUUGAAGAUAUAAUGGCGGUUUUAUGCAAGACAAGAUGCAAGAGAUAGAGCUGAGGAGACCUAUUUAUAAAAGAUUGAAUGAGUGAGUAGUGCGGUGUGUUAGGCAAAAAAUCACGACCGUUCGCCUCUUUUUUAAUAAUUAUAUCUUAAAUCGAACUUGGUGACUUUUCUAUUAUUUAAAUUAAAAAAAUAUAUUUAAAUACAAAAAAGGUGAAAAGUCAUAACUUUUCAUCUUUUUGGUAUUUUAGUUAUUUAAAUUAAAUAGCUACAAAAUUGUGUUUAUCAUAUUUUUUUCAUAUUAUUUAUUUAUGAAUCAUUUUUUAAUUAAAUGAUCGAAAAUUCAUGACCCUUGAGUUCUUCCAACAGGUGAUCUGUUUGUUGCAACAUAUGGUCCAUCUGUUACAACAGAUGACCCUUCUGUUGCAACAUAUGACUCAUCUGUUAGAGUAAUUGAUUCAUUUUUACAACAUAUGGUUCAUCUGUUACAAUAGAUUAUUUAUUUGUUGCAACAGAUUAUCUAUUUUUUGAAAAGAUAAAUCAAUAGCAAGAUUUAUUCAAUAGAAAUAAUAACAAAUCAUCAUUUAUCAAUACAACAUUUUUUAUGAGAUUAAUUGAAAUCGUAAUUGAACUUACUAAUUCAUCUUUAAUUUUAGUUAAAUCAAUUUAGUUAUUUCUAAUGAUGGAUUAGUUUGAAUCAUUUCAAAUAAAAUUGGUUAAUUGAUCACUCUACUCAGGACAAACAUACUUAGAUGAUCGUGUAAUUACCAUGAGAUUAAUUGAAAUUGUAAUUGAACUUAUUAAUUCAUAUUUUAUUUUAGUUAAAUCAAUUAGUUAUUACUAAUAAUGGCUUAUAGGUGAAUAACAAGUUGCAACAGAUGAGUAAUCUGUUGGAAAAGACCAAACAAUUAAAAACAUUUGUUGAAAAUAACCAAACCGAUAUAGACAUCUGUUGCAACAGAUGACUAACUUAUUGCAAUAGCUAACUCAUCUCUUGAAAAUUAUCAAAUAAAUAUAGACAUCUAUUGCAACAGAUGACUAAAUUGUUGCAACAUAUGACUCAUCUAUUGGAAAUUAUUAAAUAAACAAGAUAUAUGUUGAAAAACAAUUUAAAAUACUAAAGUUCAAAUAUUUUUAGGAGAACUCAAACAUUUGUCCUCUUGUUUAAGGUCUUGUAUUAAAGACUUGUCUUCAAUUUUAAUUAAAUUAUUUUAGUUAUUAUUAAUAACUGCUUAAUUUGAAUAAACAAAUGACUAACUUGUUAUAAACAUCUGUUGCAAUAUAUGACUAACUUAUUGUAACAAAUAGAUAAUCUGUUGGAAAAUAAUUAAACUACUAGAAAACUCAAAUAUUUUUAGGAGAAUACAAAUGUUUGUCCCAUUGUCGUGGAGAUAUCUUUAAUUUUAGCUAAAUAAAUUUAGUUAUUACUAAUAAUUGCUUAAUUUGAAUCAACAGAUGACUAACAUGUUGCAUCAGAUGAUUCAUCUAUUAAAAAUUAUCAAACAGAUAGAAAAUUUGUUGUAACAGAUGGGUCAACUAUUAGAAAGUAAUUAAAAUACUAGGAAACUUAAACGUUUUUAGGAGAACUCAAAUGUUUGUCCCUUUGAUCAUUUUGCAUUUGAUGUAUGGUAUAUUAUUUUUUUUCUUUACCUAUUUCAUGAAUUUUUUCAUGUGUUUUACUUAUUCGUUGUGCCCCUAUUAAAAAUUUUGAAAAAACUUUUAGGUCAAAUUUUUUCGUAUAUCACUUGGACAUUACUUCAUAACUUAUUUUGUAAGUAAAAUUAUGAUUUUUGUUGAAUUUCUUAUUUGGUGUAUCUGCUACUGCUACAAUGGAUAGAACCUGCAAUGUGAAUCCAACAUAUGAGUCAUCUAUUGCAACGAGUGAGUAAUCUGUUGCAAUAUAUGACUAAUCUGUUGCAACAGAUGACCCAUAUGUUGGAUUCAUAUUACAAAACUAUAAAACGAAUCCAACAAAUGAGUAAUCUAUUGCAACAGAUUAGUCAUAUAUAUUGCAACAGAUUACUCAUUUAUUGCAAGAAAUUACUCAAAUAUAUUGCAACAGAUUACUCAUAUGUUGCAACAAAUUAGUCAUAUAUGUUGUAAUAUAUUAGUCAUAUAUGUUACAACAGAUUACUCAUUUGUUACAAUAAAUUAGUCAUAUAUGUUGCAACAGAUUGUCAUAUAUUUUGCAACAGAUUAGUCAUAUAUGUUGCAACAUAUUACUAAUUUGCGCAACAAAUUAGUCAUAUAUGUUGCAACAGAUUACUAAUCUGUGCAACAGAUUAGUCAUAUUUACUUUACAUGUUUUAUCCAUUGUUAAAAAACAACAGUAGCAGAUAAAUCCAGAUGAGAAAUUCAACUAAAAAAUAACAAACAUUAAUAAAAAUAACAAAAACAUAAAAAAUAACAAAUACCAACAAAUCAAAUUCCUCGUUUUCGUCAUAACUUAAAAGCCCUAAUUUUUUACCUGUGAAAAUUGAAAAGAAACGAUGAAGAACUCGAAGUUGUUGUCGCUGGAGAAUGUUGUCACGUUGACUGACGGUUGAAAGUAAAAAAGGAACGGGCAAGAACUCAAAACUAUUUGUUGCCAGAGGUUGAAGUUGCACAAGAUUGAAGGGAGAAAUUUGGAAAGUUGUUGGUUGAGAGAAGUUAGAGAGACAAACUAUCGAGAGAAAGAGAGAAAUGAGAUUGAUUUAUAGAGAGAGGAAAGUUUUGUGGAUGUGGGUUAAUUUGUAUUUUUGAAAGGAUUAAAAAAUUUGAAAAAUAUUAAUCAAGUCCACAAUUAACCUAAUUAAGUUUUUUAAUUAUGUUUGACUCUUUAAGUUGGUCAAUGUCAUCAAUCAUUCAUUCAAGACUUAAAAGACACCUUUCCUUCAAUUUUAUCAACUUUUUGCCCUUCAUUAAAAAAUUCUAUAAAAGUCGGAAUUGUCUUUUCAUUAUUUCCUUCUAUUAUUAUUUAAUAUCAUAAAAAAUAUUAGGAGAAUUAAUAUUUAAGGAAUCCUAUAAUAUAUGAUAAAACUUCUAAAUAUAUGGGAAAGAGAAUUAAUGUAAUUUUCUUUUUUCUUGUGUAACUGAAGAAAAUAAAAGAAGAAUUCGUGUAGACCCUCAAAAUAUAUGGUAAAAAGAAUUAGAAAAAGUCUCGUAAAAUAUAUGAGAAGAAUAAUUAUUUUAAUUUUCUUUCAUCACACACAAUUUGUUGCAAGUAAUUCAAGGAUUAAGUUUUAUGUUGCUUUUUCUAAAUUUAUUUUUUCAGUUCUAUUGUCUCUCCACUCUUAAUUGAGAUUAGCAUUCCUGUUUAAUUCUUUUAGCAUUAUAAAUUAACACGAUACACACGUUCAAAGCACACUUGACUAGUUAUAUUGAAAGUGUGACGGAUCUUAAAAAUAUUGUUUGAACUUUUUAUUCUUCAUUAAAAAAAUUUGUAAUAGACAAAAUCAUUUUUUUACCUUUUUUUUUAAAACAAUAUUUAUUAAAUAUUGAUAUUAAAUAUUAAAAAGCAUUUUUUUGGGUAGAAAAACAUACAAUCUAAUUUUCUUUUUUUCUUUUGGCUUUUUGAUGGACUCCUAAUUAUUUGGGAAUUCAAACUCCUAUAUAUAUGGAAACUUUUCUUCGCUUAGCUAUUGUUUACUCUUUUUUUUCCUUUUUUCCUCCAUUAAAAUUCUAAAAUAUAAUUUAUUUUGUGAUUCCUAAAUGUAUGGAAUGCCAAACUCUUAAAUAGGGAUGUUCAAAACUGAACAACAACUAAUAAGUCAAUCGCAAAAUUUUCUUAUUGGUUUAUUAGUAUCGGAUUAUUGAAUUAACAGUUAAAAAACAAAUUAAAAUCUUAUAAUUAACAGUUUAUUGGUACGGGGAUGGAUUACUCAAUUUUCUUAUUGGGUAAACUGUUAACCCGUUAAAAACUAUUAGAGUUAAUUUUUAUCAUUAGCUAUAUACUUUAAAGUACUUAUUAUUAACCCUAAAGUUUCAUUUAAUACUCUACCGCUCCUUAAAGUUGAUCAAACCAAAAAGUUACUCCUUAAAUAUUAAACCAAAAUAAGUUGUUUUACUCUCUGAUUUUGACUUCCGAUUAUGACAAGAAAGCUACAUGUUUUAUUACCUAGUUCACAGGCAUCAUAGUUAUGUAACGAUACGAUUUGCAAGUUGAAUUUCUACUGAUCUACUAGCUCGUUAGUCCGGAGUUUGGACCACAUUAGACUUGUCUUCACUUCUAAUAAAUAAAUAUGUAUACUUGAAGUAUAUUUUUGCUAAUAUUUGUUAAAUAAAUGCUUAUGUGUAUGCACUCUCAAAAUUUAAGAUCUUACGUAUUUUCACUCUGAUUUAAAUUACAAUUAUAAGCUUAAGUAGAGUAGAAAAAAUAAUUUCGUGGGAGAUUAAUAAUAUAUUGGUGAGUGAAAUUGUGAAAGUGAAAGAAGGGAGUAUGAAAUGGUUGAGCCAAUACAACGUCCAUUAACCGUCCGAUCAUUACUAAUAUGAACCGAACUAAUCGAUAUCUUAUUGGAGGGAUAGUGAAUUAGUAUAUUUAAAAGUCGAUUUUCAAUAAGCCGAAUCGUUACGCAUAUUUAUCCCUUCAUCCUCCCGAUAAGCACUGAUACCCCUAAAUAUAUGGUAAGCUUUCUUAGUACCUUUUCUUCACGUUUUUUCUAUUUUUUAUUAUUAUUUUAAUUUUAUCCUUAAAUAUUCAGUUGAAAUCUUGUACUGUUAUAGUUAAAGUGGAAAAUAAUUAUCUAAUAUGAAAACUAAUAAUUAGAUGACUAUUUUUAUGAGAAUAACUAAUUUUUGUUUUAAGUCUUGAAUCUUUUUAAGUGUAGAAUUUAUUAGGUCCAGGAAUUAUUAUAAAAUUUGUUUGUCGUGUAUUCUUCUAAAGAAGGACAUGGCUGCUCUAAUUCAUCAUAAUUGUCUUAGAUCAUGUUCAAAUUUUAUCUUUAUUUUAUUGUAAAAUAAUUUUGUGUAACAAAUUUUUAUUUUUGAAUGAUAUAAAUAAGAGUAAAUGCACUGUUUUCAUCCUGAAUUAUAAACGAAAUUAUUAAGAUAUACCCGAACUUAAAGGGAGUCUUAUUAUCCCUUGAGCUAAUUAAAACCAUAUUUUUGGCAACCUUAGUGGCUACGUGGCACAUACAUGGACCUUCAGUGUAUUGAUUCACGCAGUGUGCCACGUAGCCACUAAGAUUGUAAAAAAUACGGUUUUAAUUAGCCCAGGGAGUAAUAGGACCCCCUUUAAGUUGGAGUGUGUCUCAGCAAUUUCUUUAAUAACUCAGGAUGGAAACAAUGCAUUUUCUCUAUAAAUUAUUAUAGUUCUUCAUUCUGAUUCUUUUUAUAUUUUGGAUUUUGAAUGAUAUAAAUUGCCGAGUUAUUUAUUUUAAUUCUUUUUAUGUAAUGAUCUUUUUUUUUUUGCCUUAUUUUAUGAUAUUUUUAAAUUUAUGAUAAAGAAAAAAAAUAUUAGUAUGAUGAAGGCCUAAAUAAAUCUGGCUUCUUGAUUUUUCUAAAGAUUUCUAAUCAAUAGUUGGUAGAUUUAUUACAGUAGAAAGUAUAGCAAUGCGCCAAAGAGCAUGGUCCUUCUGAAAAAAUCAAUCAAAUCAAGCAGAGGUUAUAAGGAAUUUCUAAAGUUUGAAAUAUAAAUUCUUUUAGCAAACAUGUUAAUUAUUUUGAGACGACGAAGGAAGUAUAUGUUUGGAUGCUACUUGCCCACAACUAAUUAAGAUUUUGUCCACAAUUUUCACUUCAUCAUAAAAAUAUUUAGCAGCAAGAUAAUGUUUUAGAAGCAAUUAUUAGUGACAAUUAUAUUUUAGCAUUUUUUUAUAAAUGGCCCUAAAGGUUAUAGCGCCCGCCAUCAGAUCCAAUGAUGCUUAACUAUUGUUGCUAAAAGUAUUAACACUUUUUGUUAAAGUGCAUAUUUAUUACUGCUAAAAAUCUUUAUUGUUGUAGUUUUUGAAAUUAAAUAUAAUUAAAGAAUUUGUAUCCCACUUUGCUAAACGCAUCUCAGUUUAUAUAUGAAUGGGUUAAUUAUGCUCUUUUGAAAUUCAAAUAACAAUUUGGUAUUAUAGAAAAGAAUAAAAAAAAUUCAUACUGUUGUUGUACUGAGAAAGUUAACCAUUUGUAGACUAGUAUGAGUAAAUGCAAGAACCGUUUAUACAAUUAAACAUGAAUGGCCUUUAGCCUUCCCCCAUUCUAUUCAAUUGUAACAAUAUAACAUGGUUAUUUAUAUGAUGAAAGUAUUUGUCUAACUUAUCUCAUCAAAUAAAAUAAAUUGAUGGAACAGUUAAUUUAUUGGGCGCAGGCAUGAUUAACAAGUGAGGUGUGGGAGCUUUAGGUAUUGAAAAAGCUUAUUGUUAUAAUUUCAUUUUGUUUACUAGUUUAAAUUCUCUCUCUAUGUGUUUGUAUAUCAAAGGCAACAGAGUGAUAAAGAAAUGGAGAAAUUUCUGUUAUCUUUGCCUUCUUGAACAAAGGUAAAAUCAAAAGAACAUUCUUUCUACUAUUAGUCUUAUUAGUUUAACUGUUUGAGUUUAUUUUCAUGUACUAGUCAGUUGCUACAUAUAUCUAAUCAUUCUUUUGACUUAAUGUUUUUUGUUAUUUAAGUAUCAAUAUAAAAAGAAUUAUCAGUCUCUUUAUAAGUUAAUUUUAACGGUAAGCACGGAUAUAUUCACUAAUUUUAAUUAAUAAACACUCAAAUCUACUUUAAAUAAGCUAAAAUUUGAAACAAAAGUUUCAUUUAUUGUAACAAACAAACUUCAAUCAUCAGCCUUUUUUAAAAAAAAAUAAAAUCCAUUGAAUAGUUAUUUUAAAUAAUUACCUAAUUGUGUAGUAUACAUAGAUGAUAUACUACUAUACACAAAAACCAAAGAAGAACAUUUAAAAUUACUAGAACAAUUUACAAAUAUGAUAGAAAAAUCAGGAAUAAGCUUAAGUGAAAAGAAAGCUGAAAUUAUGAAAAAUUAGAUAGAAUUUUCAGGAAUACAAAUAGAUAAGAGUGAAGUAAAAAUGCAACAACAUAUAGUACAAAAAAUAAUAAAUUCAAAAGAAGAAUUAAAUAAAAAAAAAUUACAAUCAUUUUUAGUUAACACUCUUUUAUUUUUUUUCAUGUAUGUUUUUGUAUUUCAGUCAUGUAUGGCUGAAAGUAUAUUAAAUUGUUCAAAAGUUUCACGCAUGUGCAUCUCAAAUUUUUUAUUAAUAAAAUAAUAAUUUCACUUUUAAAGUCUCAAUGCUUUGACAGAGGCUUAUCUUAUGCUGAGAGACUUCAGAUUAUCAGGACAGUUCCUUUGGUGUGCAGGCCUACUGGUCUCAGCUCUUCCUUCUGCCCCAAAAGGUUAUUAAUUUAAUUGAGGCUGUGUGUCGUAGCUAUUUUUGGACUGGGGAAUCCAUUGUUUCGAGAAGAGCCCUUGUGGCAUGGGUAAAGGUGUGUUUACCAAGAUGUGCUGGUGGACUCAAUUUAAUCAACCUCAAGAUUUAGAAUCAGGCCGAUGUUUGCAAAUUUUUAUGGGCUUUGAGUCAAAGACAAGAGAAAUUAUGGAUUACAUGGGUCCACACUUAUUAUAUAAGGCGGAACAACAUCAUGUCUAUGACUACACCUCCUCAAGCAUCUUGGAUGGUUCGUAAAAUCAUGAAUAUGAGGAAAGUAUGGCCUUCUCUGGAUAACCAUGCAACACUAAUCCGAAGAGGAAAGUUUCAAAUCAAGGAGGCGUAUAAACUACUAAGAGGGGAGGGUAUAAGUGUACCAUGGAGGGGUCUCGUCUGCUACAAUGUUGCUUGUCCCAAACACGUCUUUAUUCUAUGGUUAUCUCUCCAUGAAAAGCUACGAACUAAGGACAAGUUAGUGAAUUGGGGGCUAGAUAUUAAUAACAUAUGUGCAUUGUGUGAUACUCAAGUGGAAACCUUGUCUCAUCUGUUCUUUGAAUGUGAAUUAUCCAAGGAAAUAUGGAUUGGAAUUUGGCGUGGCUACACUGGCAGAGACAAGUGCUAACAUGGGACCAAGAAUGACAAUGGAUUUUAAAGUCCAGCAGAGGCAAAAACCCGAAAGGAACACUUCUAAAGGCAUGUUUUGCGAAUCUGAUGUAUGCAAUCUGGGAGGAGAGAAAUAUGCGUAUUUUUAGAAAUAGGAGAAGCACCAGGGAAGUACUGAUUCAUUCUAUACAAACAGAGAAAUGUACUAGAGUGAGGAUGCACAACAAAUUUUUUGAUACUAUCUUGGAACUAUAGAGCUUAUUCUAGUUGUAGUGGUGAAUUGAGUUGUUUUGGUUUCUAUUAGAGGAGCUAACAGGUUUGGUG